RNAcentral lists this ribosomal RNA (278 nucleotides) under uncultured bacterium. Its description in RNAcentral is "partial 16S ribosomal RNA". It matches the Rfam family "Bacterial small subunit ribosomal RNA", at positions 29 to 334 of the family's 1533-position model. The record is from RNAcentral.
AACGAACGCUGGCGGCAUGCCUAACACAUGCAAGUCGAACGAGACCUUCGGGUCUAGUGGCGCACGGGUGCGUAACGCGUGGGAAUCUGCCCUUGGGUUCGGAAUAACUCGCCGAAAGGCGUGCUAAUACCGGAUGAUGUCGUAAGACCAAAGAUUUAUCGCCCAGGGAUGAGCCCGCGUAAGAUUAGGUAGUUGGUGAGGUAAAGGCUCACCAAGCCGACGAUCUUUAGCUGGUCUGAGAGGAUGAUCAGCCACAAGGGGACUGAGACACGGCCCUU